ACGAACGCUGGCGGCGUGCUUAACACAUGCAAGUCGAACGGAAAGGCCCCUUUGUGGGUACUCGAGUGGCGAACGGGUGAGUAACACGUGAGUAACCUGCCCUUGACUUCGGGAUAACUUCAGGAAACUGGGGCUAAUACCGGAUAGGAAUCCUUGCUGCAUGGUGGGGGUUGGAAAGCUUCGGCGGUUUUGGGUGGACUCGCGGCUUAUCAGCUUGUUGGUGGGGUAGUGGCUUACCAAGGCUUUGACGGGUAGCCGGCCUGGGGGGGCGACCGGCCAAAAUGGGAAUGAGAUACGGCCCAGAAUCCUACGGGGGGCAACAGUUGGGAAUAUUGCACCAUGGGCGGAAGCCUGAUGCAGCAACGCCGCGGGCGGGAUGAAGGCCUUCGGGUUGUAAACCGCUUUCAGCAGGGGCGAAGCUUGUGGUGACGGUAACUGCAGAAGAAGCACCGGCUAACUACGUG
This 464-nucleotide ribosomal RNA is filed under the name uncultured bacterium. Its description in RNAcentral is "partial 16S ribosomal RNA". It matches the Rfam family "Bacterial small subunit ribosomal RNA", at positions 29 to 507 of the family's 1533-position model. The record is from RNAcentral.